RNAcentral lists this long non-coding RNA (556 nucleotides) under Gallus gallus (chicken). Lineage: Eukaryota; Metazoa; Chordata; Aves; Galliformes; Phasianidae. The record is from RNAcentral.
CUUGGAAGCGUCCUUUGACCAGUUUUUCCACUGGAAUUACCUUAUCCACAUUCAUUCUUUUAAAUGAUGCUUGCAGAAGCUUGAAGUUGUGAAUGUAUUCAUGUUCCAGCUUUGCUUGGAACUUUACUUUCUUCAAGCUAAUACACCCAGGGAACAUCAUGUCCAUGAACUGGCAGUAAGCUGCUCCUGAACAGAGCUGUUCGACUUUUGUGUAGUUUAAAGCUAAUAUAUCAUUAACCCAUGCGAUGAUGUCAUGUCUGCUCAUAGUCUCUUGGGUGAUAGAGGUAGAGUACACGUUGACCGCCAUUCCCCAACUGUAGGAGCGCUCCCCCCGCACCGUGUGCUUCCUGAAGGGGAUGAUGGUGGUGCCGUUGUCCUGGAUGAUGUCGUUAUUGUUCUCGCCAUUUGGGGACAGGGCUUGGGUCGGUCCGGGCAUUGGCGCUCCCGCGGCUCCGCGCCUCCCCGCGCUGUGCUGCUGCUGCUGCUGCUGCUCUGCGGAAGGUGGUGCUGCCGCUGCCGCCGCCGCCGUCUCGCGCCGCCAGCCCCGCCCCGCCCC